Molecule: unclassified non-coding RNA, 306 nt
Filed under: plant metagenome
Description: partial contains 5.8S ribosomal RNA, internal transcribed spacer 2, and large subunit ribosomal RNA
Rfam family: 5.8S ribosomal RNA (bases 1-105)
Source: RNAcentral
GAAAUGCGAUAAGUAAUGUGAAUUGCAGAAUUCAGUGAAUCAUCGAAUCUUUGAACGCACAUUGCGCCCGCCAGUAUUCUGGCGGGCAUGCCUGUCCGAGCGUCAUUUCAACCAUCAAGCCCCCGGGCUUGUGUUGGGGACCUGCGGCUGUCCGCAGGCCCUGAAAACCAGUGGCGGGCUCGCUGUCACACCGAGCGUAGUAGCAAUCACCUCGCUCAGGGCGUGCUGCGGGUUCCGGUCGUUAAACAGCCUUACAAAACCCAAGGUUGACCUCGGAUCAGGUAGGAAGACCCGCUGAACUUAAGC